GAUGAACGCUAGCUACAGGCUUAACACAUGCAAGUCGAGGGGUAACGAGAGGGAAGCUUGCUUUCCUUGUCGACGACCGGCGCACGGGUGAGUAACGCGUAUCCAACCUGCCCCCAACUAGGGAAUAACCUUGCGAAAGUAAGACUAAUACCCUAUAGUUUCCUCAGAUGUCAUCUGACGAGGAAUAAAGAUUUAUCGGUUGGGGAUGGGGAUGCGUCUGAUUAGCUUGUUGGCGGGGUAACGGCCCACCAAGGCAACGAUCAGUAGGGGUUCUGAGAGGAAGGUCCCCCACAUUGGAACUGAGACACGGUCCAAACUCCUACGGGAGGCAGCAGUGAGGAAUAUUGGUCAAUGGGCGGAAGCCUGAACCAGCCAAGUAGCGUGCAGGAUGACGGCCCUAUGGGUUGUAAACUGCUUUUAUACAGGAAUAAAGUUAGCCACGUGUGGUUAUUUGUAGGUACUGUAUGAAUAAGGACCGGUUAAUUCCGUGCCAGCCGCCGCCGUAA
This 506-nucleotide ribosomal RNA is filed under the name uncultured bacterium. RNAcentral describes it as "partial 16S ribosomal RNA". It matches the Rfam family "Bacterial small subunit ribosomal RNA", at positions 28 to 523 of the family's 1533-position model. The record is from RNAcentral.